RNAcentral lists this transfer RNA (71 nucleotides) under Dicamptodon aterrimus (Idaho giant salamander). RNAcentral describes it as "tRNA-Phe". It matches the Rfam family "tRNA". From Rfam's summary of the family: Transfer RNA (tRNA) molecules are approximately 80 nucleotides in length. Their secondary structure includes four short double-helical elements and three loops (D, anti-codon, and T loops). The record is from RNAcentral. Lineage: Eukaryota; Metazoa; Chordata; Amphibia; Caudata; Dicamptodontidae.
GUUAGUGUAGCUUAAAAUUAAAAGCGCGGCACUGAAAAUGCCUAGAUAGAUUUUUAAAUAUCUUACAAACA